Long non-coding RNA from Balaenoptera ricei (Rice's whale), 898 nucleotides. RefSeq lists it as uncharacterized. The transcript is spliced from 5 exons. The record is from RefSeq and is a predicted model, not a curated record. Lineage: Eukaryota; Metazoa; Chordata; Mammalia; Artiodactyla; Balaenopteridae.
AAGAGGGGAGCGCCGGCUCCGCACGUGUCCCCACCCCAGUUAGCUGGAAAAGGCCGGGUGUGCUGCACCUCCCGCGGUGGGUCGUCUCGGCUUAAAGCGGCAGCAGGCGACCAAGGAAGCGGAUGGAGAGGCCGCGGGGAGCCGGGGAUGGCAAAGCCGCUCCCUACCCGAGGGCUCGCUGCCCUCGCUGGCAAGGCGAGGGCUCACUCUGCAGAGGCGUCUCCGCGGCUUUUCCCAGUUUUGCUCCGAGACCCAGGCUGUGCCCCUCCACAUGCACACCUGUCUGUAGCUACCAAGAAGCCAGGGAUCACAUCUCUCUUGUUUCCUCCUUUGUCACCAGCAUCUAUCUCAGGGCUAGGUCUCAACACCUAGCAGCUCUCAACAAAUAUUGGAUAAAUAGUGAAUGAAUCUAAAGACGCAUUUCCUCUGGACUCUUCUAUCUGGAAGAAAAGGGCCGGAUCCACCUUUCAGCCCCAGUACAAUCAUCCAGGAGGCAGCUAGUCAAUAUCCUGUCUACUCUGAAGACAAGAACAACCCCGCAGAUGUCAGCCAGACCUUUCUUUUCUGGCAGCACUAAAUGAGCCUUCCUUUCUCCAAUCACCCGUGUCUUCUGAGCUGACCUAGAAGCCUAGGAGCCAUUCCACUGAGACAGACGAAUGGACCACAUGACCUGAGGAAGACUCCUCGCUAGCUCCUACUCACCAAUCAGGUCUUGAGCAAAGAGUGACAUCCUUGAAAAGAUAUUCUCCAACCUCCAGCCUAAGUCAGGGUCUUAAGAGUAAUUAUCUCAGUUUGUAAAUAUAUCUUCCUCUGCAUCAUCUGGAUAAUUACUGUCUACCCCGGUAGGCUGUAAGAACCUCCUGAGUUUUGAUAUUGGUGGAAGUCACUGAAGUAGACA